RNAcentral lists this ribosomal RNA (451 nucleotides) under uncultured bacterium. Its description in RNAcentral is "partial 16S ribosomal RNA". It matches the Rfam family "Bacterial small subunit ribosomal RNA", at positions 29 to 523 of the family's 1533-position model. The record is from RNAcentral.
AACGAACGCUGGCGGCAUGCCUAACACAUGCAAGUCGAACGCCUGUAGCAAUACAGGAGUGGCAGACGGGUGCAUAACACGUGGGAACCUACCCUAGGGUUCGGAAUAACCGCGGGAAACUGCGGCUAAUACCGGAUACGUCCUUCGGGAGAAAGAUUCAUCGCCCUUGGAGGGGCCCGCGUCGGAUUAGCUAGUUGGUGAGGUAACGGCUCACCAAGGCGACGAUCCGUAGCUGAUCUGAGAGGAUGAUCAGCCACACUGGAACUGAGACACGGUCCAGACUCCUACGGGGGGCAGCAGUGGGGAAUAUUGGACAAUGGGGGCAACCCUGAUCCAGCAAUGCCGCGUGGGUGAUGAAGGCCUUCGGGUUGUAAAGCCCUUUUGGCAGGGACGAUGAUGACGGUACCUGCAGAAUAAGCCCCGGCUAACUUCGUGCCAGCCGCCGCAGUAA